ACACAAAUCACCUGGGGGUCUUGUUGAAAUGCAGAUUCUGAUCCAGAGUGGGGUGGAACUUGGGAUUCUACACUAACAGGCUCCCAAGUGAUGCUAAU
This 98-nucleotide microRNA precursor is filed under the name Marmota monax (woodchuck). The record is from RNAcentral. Lineage: Eukaryota; Metazoa; Chordata; Mammalia; Rodentia; Sciuridae.